This 253-nucleotide ribosomal RNA is filed under the name uncultured bacterium. RNAcentral's name for it is "partial 16S ribosomal RNA". It matches the Rfam family "Bacterial small subunit ribosomal RNA", at positions 524 to 776 of the family's 1533-position model. The record is from RNAcentral.
UACGUAGGGGGCAAGCGUUGUCCGGAAUCAUUGGGCGUAAAGCGCGUGUAGGCGGUCCGGUAAGUCCGCUGUGAAAGUCGGGGGCUCAACCCUCGAAUGCCGGUGGAUACUGUCGGGCUAGAGUGCGGAAGAGGCGAGUGGAAUUCCUGGUGUAGCGGUGAAAUGCGCAGAUAUCAGGAGGAACACCAAUUGCGAAGGCAGCUCGCUGGGACGUGACUGACGCUGAGACGCGAAAGCGUGGGGAGCGAACAGG